GCCGGCGUGGUGGAACGGUAGACACGCCAGCCUUAGGAGCUGGUGGCCGCAAGGCCGUGGGGGUUCAAGUCCUCCCGCCGGCA
This 83-nucleotide transfer RNA is filed under the name bacterium. RNAcentral's name for it is "tRNA-Leu". It matches the Rfam family "tRNA". Rfam says of the family: Transfer RNA (tRNA) molecules are approximately 80 nucleotides in length. Their secondary structure includes four short double-helical elements and three loops (D, anti-codon, and T loops). Further hydrogen bonds mediate the characteristic L-shaped molecular structure. tRNAs have two regions of fundamental functional importance: the anti-codon, which is responsible for specific mRNA codon recognition, and the 3' end, to which the tRNAs corresponding amino acid is attached (by aminoacyl-tRNA synthetases). tRNAs cope with the degeneracy of the genetic code in two manners: having more than one tRNA (with a specific anti-codon) for a particular amino acid; and 'wobble' base-pairing, i.e. permitting non-standard base-pairing at the 3rd anti-codon position. The record is from RNAcentral.